Molecule: RNA transcript, 5002 nt
Organism: Carya illinoinensis
Lineage: Eukaryota; Viridiplantae; Streptophyta; Magnoliopsida; Fagales; Juglandaceae
Gene name: putative disease resistance RPP13-like protein 1
Exons: 5
Source: RefSeq, a predicted model, not a curated record
GAUGAGUCUUGUGAAAGAGUAAUGAUCUACACAUAAUAUAUUUUCACAAUAUACUUCAUAAUAAAAUUAUAAAAUGAAGAUGUUUUUAUAAAUUAAUAUUACUUUUAUAAGGUAUUUUAUAAAAAUACCCUUCAUUUAACACAUUAUUGUAAAAAAUAUUGUGUCUAAAUCAUUUCUCUUUUAUUAUAGUAAGAAUUUUCUUGCAACCUGAGCUUGCUUUGCUGUCUGCAAAAACCUUCCUUCAUUUCCCUUGAUUUCUUUCAUUCCAAAGAAGAAAAACAUGGCUGAGGUGAGCUUGGCAUUUCUCUCUGCUUCACUCGGCGUGUUGUUUGAAAGAAUGACAUCUCGUGAGGUGCUUCACUUCAUGAAGGGAAGAAAACCAACCAAAGUGCUCUUAUGGAAAUUGAACAAUGCUAUGCUGUCUGUGAAGGCUGUGCUUGAAGACGCGGAGGAAAAGCAACUUACGGAUUCUGUUGUGAAAGUCUGGGUUGAUGAGUUGAAGAAUGUUAUAUACGACGCGGAGGACAUCUUCGAUGAGAUUGCUACUGAAGACCUGCAAAGAAAGCUGCAGGACGCUGAAUCUCCUACCUUGGGAGGAAAUUUACGAAACUCCUUCUCUGCUUUGCUUGAGCCUUUUUUCAAAAAGGUAGAUAAAAAAGUUGAAGAGGUACUUGAUAGACUUGAAGAUCUAACAAAGCAAAAGGAUUGUAUGGGUCUACAUGAAGUAGUAGGAGUUGGAGGAAAACAAUAUCCAGAAAGGUUGUCCACUUCUUACGUCUCACAGUCCGACACUUUCGGUAGGGAUGAGGACAAGAAAAAAGUCAUUGACUUAUUGCUCUCGUCUGAUGCGAGUGGCAAUGAAAGGUGCGUGAUUACCAUCAUUGGCAUGGGGGGAAUCGGCAAGACUACCCUUGCUCAACUGGCAUACAAUGAUGGUAGGGUGAAAGAACACUUCAACCUUAAAAUAUGGUUUUGUGUUUCAGAAGAAUUUGUGGUACCCAAUGUAAUGAAAUCCAUUAUAGACCAGUCUGCAACUUCGUCAGCUCCUUCUACUGAGGAUCCAGAGCAGCUUCAAGUUAUUCUAAAGAAGAAUUUGCAGGGGAAGAAAUUUCUCCUUGUUUUGGAUGAUGUUUGGAGUGAGAAACCCUGUCAUCACGAGUUCCUAAGCCAACUCUUGUACUAUGGGACUCGAGGAAGUAAGAUCAUUGUCACCACAAGGAAUGAAAGCGUUGCAUUGGCCAUGAAGGCAACUGCAACUCAUCGUCUAAAGUUCUUAACAGAUGAUGAUUGCCGGUUCCUUUUUGAAAAACAUGCAUUUCGUGAUGGUAGCUCCAACGCAGAUCCAAAGAUAAAAGAUAUAGGUGAACAAAUUGUGAAAAAGUGCAAAGGUCUACCUUUAGCAAUCAAAGCCAUUGGCGAUCUCUUGUGGUCUGAAUCAAAUGUCGAGAGAUGGACGAAUAUAUUGAAGAGCAAUUUAUGGGAUCUUCACAUGGAGGGGACAAACAUUCUUCCGGCUUUGAGGUUAAGUUAUAAGUAUCUCCCCUCAUAUUUAAAAAGAUGCUUUGCUUAUUGUUCGAUAUUCCCAAAAGAUCAUAUUUUUAAAAAAGAUCAAUUAGUUUUAUUCUGGAUGGCGGAAGGUUUCUUGCAACAAACCGAAAAAGAAACUAUGGAAGAAGUUGGAAAUCGUUAUUUCGAUGCUCUUGUAUCAAGAUCAUUAUUUCAAUAUGAAUCACCUGAAACUAAGUCAAGUUUUGUAAUGCAUGAUCUUGUAAACGACUUGGCAAAUUUCGUGACUGGGCAAUUUGGCUUUAUGCGGUUGGAGGGUGAUAGUUCAAAAGAAAUUGGGAAGAUGACUCGCUAUUUAUUGUAUUUCGGUGGAAGUUCAGAUAACUCUGAGAAGAUUGAAAAUGAUCUUUACAAGGCCAAGCAAUUGCGCACUUUCCUAGCAUUAGAUUGUAAACUAGGGAGUGAAAUCGAAAUGCCAAGGGCACGGUGCUUAUCCGGGUUAACUAAGUUCUCUGAUUCAAUUAGCAAAAUGAAACAUCUACGUUAUUUGGAUUUUUCUAAUUGCAAUAUUAGCAGAUUGCCCAACUCCAUAUGUAUGUUGUGCAAUUUGCAGACGUUGAAGUUAUCACGGUGUAAGGAGUUGGAAAGAUUGCCAAGAGAUACGUGUAAACUCAUUAAUUUACAUCAUCUUGAGAUUGAUGAAACUGUCAAAUUAAAGGAGAUGCCGAUACAAAUGGGUAAACUUAAAUGCCUUCAGACGUUAUCCAAAUUCAUCGUCAGCAAACAUGACAGUGGGUCUAGCAAUAUUGGAGAAUUGGAAAAACUAAUAGAUCUUCGGGGAAAGCUUUUAAUUCAAAAACUCCAAAAUGUUAGAUCAGCCAAUGAUGCUUUGGAUGCAAGCUUGAAGGAUAAGCGUUAUCUCGAGGAGUUGGUGUUAGAAUGGAAUCCUCCAGAAGAAGUACUUGGUAUUUCGGAAAGUCAAAAAGGUGUUCUUGAAAAUCUGCAGUCACAUGAAAAAUUGAAAAGUCUCACCAUUAACCACUACGGUGGGGAAGGUUUGGAUUGGAUAGGACUGGGGCUUCAUUCAUUGUCUAGGUUGAACUUAAUUGAUUGCAAAUAUUGUAGUGCCUUGCCAUCUCUUGGGCAGCUACCUUCUCUUAAUGAACUCUACAUUGCUGGGUUUGAUAGAGUUGUUACUGUGGAUCAAGAGUUUUAUAUAAAUAAUUGUUCUUUUCGGAAUCCAUUUGGAAGACUGAAACUUCUAAGGUUGGAGCGUAUGUCGAAUUGGGAAAAUUGGUUUCAUUUGAAUGUCCAAAAUGAAGUCAAAACUUAUUCUCAACUCGAAGAGUUGUAUAUUAAGAAGUGCCCCAAGCUAAGAGGAAUGUUGCCUAUACAUCUUCCUUCGUUAAAAAAACUUGGGAUUUCUGAAUGUCGACGUCUCAAGGCUUCGCUCUCCAUAGAAUCUUUCCAAGUACUUACCCCUAAGGGAAUAACAGAGUGUGGUAAUUGGGAAUUAUUUGCACUUCCUGAACAACAUAAACAUGAUGGAAUAGUGGAUUUUAAUAAUUGUCUUCAAGAAUUACGAAUCCGUAGGUGUUCCUCACUUGUGUCCCUUCUCAAGGAAGGUUUACUCUCUCCAUUGGAAGUACUUGAGAUCGAUGAUUGUGAUUCUCUAGUGUCCUUUCCAUUAUACCUAUUCUCAAAUCUGAAGUAUAUUCAAAUCAAGGGGUGCAGUAAUUUGAAAUCUUUGGACAAGCACAUGCCAGAAGAGAGGUUCCCAGCCUCCCUUCGUUUUUUAGAGAUAAGGAAUUGUCUUUUGUUGGAAGAAAAGUUGAAAAGGAAAGAAGGAAAAGAAUGGCUCAAGGUGGCUCGCAUCCCCAACAUAAUCGUUAGUUACGAACGAAUUCAAGGAGAUGAACGGUUUCCAGCUUCCAGAAGUCCGGAUGAUCAAUUUAGUUCAAUGGACACGGAGUCCUCCCAUGUGGUACCGGACCAAUAUGAUCGUGAGUGGGACAAUUGUAUUGUCAAGUUGGUGGAUGAUGGAAUAGUGGACUUUAAUAAAUGUCUUCAAGAACUACGAAUCUAUAGUUGUUCCUCGCUCAUGUCCCUUCUCAAGAAUGAUUUACGCUCUUCAUUGAAAGUACUUGAGAUCAAUGAUUGUGAUUCUCUAGUGUCCUUUCCAUUAGACCUAUUCCAAAAUCUGAAGAGUAUUCAAAUCAAGAGGUGCAGGAAAUUGAAAUCUUUUGAUUUGAAUACUCCAGAACAACAUGGUGAUCAUCAUUUAGUGAAAGGUGGGAUGCGCAUAUUCCUUCAAUCUCUUUGUUAUUUGGAAUUAGUAGAUUGUCCAGAAGUUGAGUCGUUUCCAGAAGGGGAUCUGCCUUCCAAUUUGAAGCAAAUUGUGAUCUGUCGGUGUAAGAAACUCAUUGCAAACUGGAAGGAACGGGAUUUGCAAAUACUCCCGUCUCUUGAAUGGUUGGAAAUAAUUUGGGACGACAAAUUAGAAGAUGAUGUGAAGUCCUUUCCUGAGAGAUUGUUGCUGCCCACUACUUUGACCAAUCUUAAGAUCUCUUCAUUUGGAAAUUUGGAAUCUUUGGACAAUAAGGGGUUUGAACGCCUGGCCUCCCUUGUACAAUUGGUAAUCCAUUAUUGUCCAAAGCUCAGGUGCAUGCCAAAAGAGGGGUUCCUUACCUCCCUUCGUUUUUUACAUAUAGGGAACUGUGGUCCUAUAUUGACGAAAGAGUUGCAAAUGAAAGAAGGAGAAGAAUGGCUCAAGGUGGCUUCCAUCCCCAACAUAAGAAUUGAUUUUGAAAGAAUUCAAGGAGAUGAUGAAUGGCCAGCUUGGAAAAGUCCGUAUGAAUCAAAUGGUUUAACGAACACGGAGUACUCCUCCCAUAUGGUACCGGGCCAAUAUGAUCGUGAGGGGCUGGACAACUCUAUUAUUGGCGGGAUUGUGGAUGCAUUAGAUAAAAUCAUAUCCGGUGCGUAAAUUAGAUUUGAUUCAUGAGAAGUGAAGAUAUUUGGCAUUUUGAGAUCAAUCAAGUUUUCCGUGAAGAGAAUGGUUUGGUAAAUUUGGGAGCUGCUAGCUGCUAGAUCAUGUGAAACCUCCCUUGCUUCUGUUGCACAACUUCCGGCUAAAUGCUUGCUAAUUCCAUUACAUUGAUAAAUGGGACUUCAAAAGUGAAUCAUGGCCGCAUGGCUAGCUAGUUUUGGAUGUGUCAUUAGAAAUCAUGAUGGACUCCCUCUCUUUAAACACUAGUUUUAUGCUUUUCUGUUAUGAUAAAUAGUUCGAAAAAGAAGUAUUAAUGUAUGAAUUAGUUUCUAAGACUAUAUAGUUCUUGCAAGACCUUGGGUUUUAGAUUAAUAUAACCGGCCCCCAAAGUUCUUCUCUCGAUUGUAAAAAGUAUUCAUCCGCCAUAAGUGAGGGUUAUCAAUAAAAUUGGAGAUACCGUCUCUCUUAUGGAAAAAAAAAAUCAUGUUUAUUGACCUCAAUUUUGAC